Molecule: small RNA, 700 nt
Filed under: Drosophila virilis
Lineage: Eukaryota; Metazoa; Arthropoda; Insecta; Diptera; Drosophilidae
Description: GJ26482
Source: RNAcentral
UCAAAAUAUUCGCAAACUUUUUCAUACGGCUUUUCUCGACUUUUCACUUUGCGUGAGUGCUAAUAAGAAACAAACACAGAGAAAACAAAGAUCUACAAAUACUUAAAAACUUGAACUCUACCAACUCGAACUUAACUUAAAAGCUAUCAGUGUAUCGCUAUUUUGUAUCUUCUAACACUCAACAACAACAACAACAACAGCAACAACCACAAGAUAGCCAUAAUUACAAGUAACCACACAACAACGACAACAACAACAACAACUACAAAACGCAUUACCAACAUUUAAAGCGGCAAAGUUACAUAUAAUAAAAUAUAUAAAAAUAAAAAUAUUAAAGACAAAACACAAAUAUCUAAAAACACCGGCAAAAAAUCAACAACCUUUAACAAAGCAAAAAUAAUAAAAAAAAAAAAAACAGCACUUCAUCUACUCACGACUUUGACUCGACAUUUAAUUGUACAAGCAAGCAAAAGAUCAAAAAAUAUUAUUAUAAAUAACAACAACAAGAAUCAACUGGUAUUUUUCUGUGUCCAAAUCACACGCUUUCCCACACCAUUCCAAACAAAAUCCCAAAGAACCCCAACAAAACAGAAACAAAAACAGAGCCCAUUCAAAAAAAUUAAAAAUAAAAAUCAUUAGGCAUUACGGCACAAAAGGCAUCAAAUCCAAACAAAGUGGCAAAUUGUUGUUAAUUUUAAGU